RNAcentral lists this long non-coding RNA (298 nucleotides) under Carica papaya (papaya). RNAcentral describes it as "long non-coding RNA (CPAP_LNC009822)". The record is from RNAcentral. Lineage: Eukaryota; Viridiplantae; Streptophyta; Magnoliopsida; Brassicales; Caricaceae.
GGGGUCCGAAUUAUAUUUGCGUAGCAUGGAUACAUGAAACACAUUUUUAAUCCUGGAUAACUCUGGAGAUAGUACCAGUCUAUAAGUAGUCGUAUCAAUCCUGUUUAAGAUCUCAAAUGGCCCAAUGAACCAGAGAUUUAAUUUUCCCAUCUUGCGAAACCUAGUGAUUCUUCUGAAAGUAGUGACCUUGAGAAACACUCGAUCACCUUUCUCAAAUUCUAAAUCCUCAUCUAGGUGUCCGCAUAACUCUUCUACAUGCUCUGAGCUAUUUGGAUGUUCUUCCUGAUCUUAACUAUCU